AUUGAACGCUGGCGGCAGGCUUAACACAUGCAAGUCGAGCGGGGGAAGGUAGCUUGCUACUGGACCUAGCGGCGGACGGGUGAGUAAUGCUUAGGAAUCUGCCUAUUAGUGGGGGACAACAUCUCGAAAGGGAUGCUAAUACCACAUACGUCCUACGGGAGAAAGCAGGGGAUCUUCGGACCUUGCGCUAAUAGAUGAGCCUAAGUGGUAUUCGCUUGUUGGUGGGAUAAAGGCCUACCAAGGCGACGAUCUGUAGCGGGUCUGAGAGGAUGAUCCGCCGCACUGGCUCUGAGACCCGGCCCAGACUCCUUCGGGGGGCAGCAGGGGGGAAUAUUGGACAAUGGGGGGAACCCUGAUCCAGCCAUGCCGCGUGUGUGAAGAAGGCCUUAUGGUUGUAAAGCACUUUAAGCGAGGAGGAGGCUACUUUAGUUAAUACCUAGAGAUAGUGGACGUUACUCGCAGAAUAAGCACCGGCUAACUCUGUGCCAGCCGCCGCCGUAA
RNAcentral lists this ribosomal RNA (501 nucleotides) under uncultured bacterium. Its description in RNAcentral is "partial 16S ribosomal RNA". It matches the Rfam family "Bacterial small subunit ribosomal RNA", at positions 30 to 523 of the family's 1533-position model. The record is from RNAcentral.